Molecule: ribosomal RNA, 689 nt
Filed under: uncultured Bacteroidales bacterium
Lineage: Bacteria; Pseudomonadati; Bacteroidota; Bacteroidia; Bacteroidales
Description: bacterial SSU rRNA
Rfam family: Bacterial small subunit ribosomal RNA
Source: RNAcentral
AGGGGCAGCAUGAACUUAGCUUGCUAAGUUUGAUGGCGACCGGCGCACGGGUGAGUAACACGUAUCCAACCUGCCGAUGACUCGGGGAUAGCCUUUCGAAAGAAAGAUUAAUACCCGAUGGCAUAGUUCUUCCGCAUGGUGGAACUAUUAAAGAAUUUCGGUCAUCGAUGGGGAUGCGUUCCAUUAGGUUGUUGGCGGGGUAACGGCCCACCAAGCCUUCGAUGGAUAGGGGUUCUGAGAGGAAGGUCCCCCACAUUGGAACUGAGACACGGUCCAAACUCCUACGGGAGGCAGCAGUGAGGAAUAUUGGUCAAUGGACGAGAGUCUGAACCAGCCAAGUAGCGUGAAGGAUGACUGCCCUAUGGGUUGUAAACUUCUUUUAUACGGGAAUAAAGUGAGGCACGUGUGCCUUUUUGUAUGUACCGUAUGAAUAAGGAUCGGCUAACUCCGUGCCAGCAGCCGCGGUAAUACGGAGGAUCCGAGCGUUAUCCGGAUUUAUUGGGUUUAAAGGGAGCGUAGGCGGACGCUUAAGUCAGUUGUGAAAGUUUGCGGCUCAACCGUAAAAUUGCAGUUGAUACUGGGUGUCUUGAGUACAGUAGAGGCAGGCGGAAUUCGUGGUGUAGCGGUGAAAUGCUUAGAUAUCACGAAGAACUCCGAUUGCGAAGGCAGCUUGCUGGACUGUAACUGAC